RNAcentral lists this ribosomal RNA (497 nucleotides) under uncultured bacterium. Its description in RNAcentral is "partial 16S ribosomal RNA". It matches the Rfam family "Bacterial small subunit ribosomal RNA", at positions 28 to 507 of the family's 1533-position model. The record is from RNAcentral.
GACGAACGCCGGCGGCGUGCCUAAUACAUGCAAGUUGAGCGAUGAAGCUUGGUGCUUGCACCAAUUUGAAGAGCAGCGAACGGGUGAGUAACGCGUGGGGAAUCUGCCUUUGAGCGGGGGACAACAUUUGGAAACGAAUGCUAAUACCGCAUAACAACUUUAAACAUAAGUUUUAAGUUUGAAAGAUGCAAUUGCAUCACUCAAAGAUGAUCCCGCGUUGUAUUAGCUAGUUGGUGAGGUAAAGGCUCACCAAGGCGAUGAUACAUAGCCGACCUGAGAGGGUGAUCGGCCACAUUGGGACUGAGACACGGCCCAAACUCCUACGGGAGGCAGCAGUAGGGAAUCUUCGGCAAUGGACGAAAGUCUGACCGAGCAACGCCGCGUGAGUGAAGAAGGUUUUCGGAUCGUAAAACUCGGUUGGUAGAGAAGAACGUUGGUGAGAGUGGAAAGCUCAUCAAGUGACGGUAACUACCCAGAAAGGGACGGCUAACUACGUG